GGGGUAUCUGUGAUGCCGCCUUCGCCUGUUCUUUUAACUGAAGCUGGUCUUAUCACGUGAUUUGAUAUCGAUUGUCUUAUCUACCUACCAAUGUAAAUAAACACGGCAACUCCCGUGGUUAUUUGUGAAUCGCCACAUGAAUAACAACACCUGUUUCCGUUCAAUAAAUGAAGAACAACGCUGAAAAGAUCGAAAAAAUUGGCCCAUAUUUAAC
RNAcentral lists this long non-coding RNA (214 nucleotides) under Mytilus galloprovincialis (Mediterranean mussel). The record is from RNAcentral. Lineage: Eukaryota; Metazoa; Mollusca; Bivalvia; Mytilida; Mytilidae.